UUGGAGGGCAAGUCUGGUGCCAGCAGCCGCGGUAAUUCCAGCUCCAAUAGCGUAUAUUAAAGUUGUUGCAGUUAAAAAGCUCGUAGUUGAAUUUCGGGGUCAGUAGGCUGGUCGUGCCACAGGUAUGUACUGGUCUCACUGAUUCCUCCUUCCUGAUGAACCGUAAUGCCAUUAAUUUGGUGUUGCGGGGAAACUGGACUGUUACUUUGAAAAAAUUAGAGUGUUUAAAGCAGGCUAACGCUUGAAUACAUUAGCAUGGAAUAAUGAAAUAGGACGUUCGAUCCUAUUUUGUUGGUUUCUAGGAUCGACGUAAUGAUUAAUAGGGAUAGUUGGGGGCAUUAGUAUUCAAUUGUCAGAGGUGAAAUUCUUGGAUUUAUUGAAGACUAACUACUGCGAAAGCAUUUGCCAAGGAUGUUUUCAUUAAUCAAGAACGAAAGUUAGGGGAUCGAAGACGAUCAGAUACCGUCGUAGUCUUAACCAUAAACUAUGCCGACUAGGAAUCGGAUGAUGUUAUUUUUAAUGACUCAUUCGGCGCCUUACGGGAAA
Molecule: ribosomal RNA, 546 nt
Filed under: uncultured Glomeromycotina
Lineage: Eukaryota; Fungi; Glomeromycota
Description: SSU rRNA
Rfam family: Eukaryotic small subunit ribosomal RNA
Source: RNAcentral